AACGCUGGCGGCGUGCUUAACACAUGCAAGUCGAACGAGAGGACAAGAGAAGCUUGCUUCUUUUGGAAUCGAGUGGCGGACGGGUGAGUAACGCGUGAGGAACCUGCCUUGAAGAGGGGGACAACAGUUGGAAACGACUGCUAAUACCGCAUGACGCAUAGAGGUCGCAUGAUCUUUAUGCCAAAGAUUUAUCGCUUCAAGAUGGCCUCGCGUCUGAUUAGCUAGUUGGCGGGGUAACGGCCCACCAAGGCGACGAUCAGUAGCCGGACUGAGAGGUUGAACGGCCACAUUGGGACUGAGAUACGGCCCAGACUCCUACGGGAGGCAGCAGUGGGGAAUAUUGGGCAAUGGGCGCAAGCCUGACCCAGCAACGCCGCGUGAAGGAAGAAGGCUUUCGGGUUGUAAACUUCUUUUAAGAGGGAAGAGCAGAAGACGGUACCUCUAGAAUAAGCCACGGCUAACUACGUG
RNAcentral lists this ribosomal RNA (468 nucleotides) under uncultured bacterium. Its description in RNAcentral is "bacterial SSU rRNA". It matches the Rfam family "Bacterial small subunit ribosomal RNA", at positions 32 to 507 of the family's 1533-position model. The record is from RNAcentral.